RNAcentral lists this ribosomal RNA (245 nucleotides) under uncultured bacterium. Its description in RNAcentral is "partial 16S ribosomal RNA". It matches the Rfam family "Bacterial small subunit ribosomal RNA", at positions 796 to 1041 of the family's 1533-position model. The record is from RNAcentral.
CACGCCCUAAACGAUGUCAACUGGUUGUUGGGUCUUUACUGACUCAGUAACGAAGCUAACGCGUGAAGUUGACCGCCUGGGGAGUACGGCCGCAAGGUUAAAACUCAAAUGAAUUGACGGGGGCCCGCACAAGCGGUGGAGCAUGUGGUUUAAUUCGAUGCAACGCGAAGAACCUUACCUGGCCUUGACAUGUCUGGAAUCCUGUAGAGAUACGGGAGUGCCUUCGGGAAUCAGAACACAGGUGC